GGCGGACGGGUGAGUAACGCGUGGGUAACCUGCCCUGUACACACGGAUAACAUACCGAAAGGUAUGCUAAUACGAGAUAAUAUGCUUUUAUCGCAUGGUAGAAGUAUCAAAGCUCUGGCGGUACAGGAUGGACCCGCGUCUGAUUAGCUAGUUGGUAAGGUAACGGCUUACCAAGGCGACGAUCAGUAGCCGACCUGAGAGGGUGAUCGGCCACAUUGGAACUGAGACACGGUCCAAACUCCUACGGGAGGCAGCAUG
This 258-nucleotide ribosomal RNA is filed under the name uncultured bacterium. Its description in RNAcentral is "partial 16S ribosomal RNA". It matches the Rfam family "Bacterial small subunit ribosomal RNA", at positions 97 to 353 of the family's 1533-position model. The record is from RNAcentral.